AUUGAACGCUGGCGGCAUGCUUUACACAUGCAAGUCGAACGGCAGCACGGGCUUCGGCCUGGUGGCGAGUGGCGAACGGGUGAGUAAUAUAUCGGAACGUACCCAGAAGUGGGGGAUAACGUAGCGAAAGUUACGCUAAUACCGCAUACGAUCUACGGAUGAAAGCAGGGGACCGCAAGGCCUUGUGCUCCUGGAGCGGCCGAUAUCUGAUUAGCUAGUUGGUGAGGUAAAGGCUCACCAAGGCGACGAUCAGUAGCUGGUCUGAGAGGACGACCAGCCACACUGGAGCUGAGACACGGUCCAGACUCCUACGGGAGGCAGCAGUGGGGAAUUUUGGACAAUGGGCGCAAGCCUGAUCCAGCAAUGCCGCGUGAGUGAAGAAGGCCUUCGGGUUGUAAAGCUCUUUUGUCAGGGAAGAAACGGUAGAGGCUAAUAUCCUUUGCUAAUGACGGUACCUGAAGAAUAAGCACCGGCUAACUACGUG
This 484-nucleotide ribosomal RNA is filed under the name uncultured bacterium. RNAcentral's name for it is "partial 16S ribosomal RNA". It matches the Rfam family "Bacterial small subunit ribosomal RNA", at positions 30 to 507 of the family's 1533-position model. The record is from RNAcentral.